GACGAACGCUGGCGGCGUGCUUACACAUGCAAGUCGAACGGAAAGGCCCUGCUUUUGUGGGGUGCUCGAGUGGCGAACGGGUGAGUAACACGUGAGUAACCUGCCCUUGACUUUGGGAUAACUUCAGGAAACUGGGGCUAAUACCGGAUAGGAGCUCCUGCUGCAUGGUGGGGGUUGGAAAGUUUCGGCGGUUGGGGAUGGACUCGCGGCUUAUCAGCUUGUUGGUGGGGUAGUGGCUUACCAAGGCUUUGACGGGUAGCCGGCCUGAGAGGGUGACCGGCCACAUUGGGACUGAGAUACGGCCCAGACUCCUACGGGAGGCAGCAGUGGGGAAUAUUGCACAAUGGGCGGAAGCCUGAUGCAGCAACGCCGCGUGCGGGAUGACGGCCUUCGGGUUGUAAACCGCUUUCGCCUGUGACGAAGCGUGAGUGACGGUAAUGGGUAAAGAAGCACCGGCUAACUACGUA
RNAcentral lists this ribosomal RNA (467 nucleotides) under uncultured bacterium. RNAcentral's name for it is "partial 16S ribosomal RNA". It matches the Rfam family "Bacterial small subunit ribosomal RNA", at positions 28 to 507 of the family's 1533-position model. The record is from RNAcentral.